This 150-nucleotide ribosomal RNA is filed under the name uncultured Escherichia sp. RNAcentral's name for it is "partial 16S ribosomal RNA". It matches the Rfam family "Bacterial small subunit ribosomal RNA", at positions 384 to 526 of the family's 1533-position model. Lineage: Bacteria; Pseudomonadati; Pseudomonadota; Gammaproteobacteria; Enterobacterales; Enterobacteriaceae. The record is from RNAcentral.
UGAUGCAGCCCUGCAGCGUGUAUGAUGAAGGCCUUCGGGUUGUAAAGUACUUUCGGCGGGGAGGAAGGGAGUAAAGUUAAUACCUUUGCUCAUUGACGUUACCCGCACAAGAAGCCCCGGCUAACUCCGUGCCAGCAGCCGCGGUAAUAA